RNAcentral lists this long non-coding RNA (464 nucleotides) under Hordeum vulgare. RNAcentral's name for it is "long non-coding RNA (HVUL_LNC006460)". Lineage: Eukaryota; Viridiplantae; Streptophyta; Magnoliopsida; Poales; Poaceae. The record is from RNAcentral.
GAUCUCCGGGUACCCCUUGAGCGCCACCGACACGUCCUCCAUCUCCGUGAUGGACUCGUCGCGGUCGCCGAUCUCGUACAGCACCACCGCCCGCCCCACCCGCGCGUACUCCGACAGCGCCAGGUCCUUGUACCCGCUCACCACCGCCGUGAAGGACGCCAGCGCCCCCGCGAACUCGCCGCGCGCCUGCAGCUCCCGCCCGGCGUCGAGCAGCCGGACCGCCUCCCCGACGCGCUGCGACACGGCCUCGCUCGCCGCGCGCUCCGCCUCCGUCACCGGGUCGUAGUCGAGGCCGGCCGCGGACGCCGCUCCCCUGCUAGCGUUGUUGUUGUUGCCCGCGGCGGCCACGAGGAACAGGCCGCCAGCGGACGCGAGCAGCUGCCUCCUCGUCCUCGUUGAGGCGGAUGGCGGCGAGGGGAUGACGGGUGGCCGUUGAAGCGGCGUCUCUCCGGUGGAGACGGACC